AAUAAGAGGUCCCGCCUGCCCAGUGACUAUAUGUUUAACGGCCGCGGUAUUUUGACCGUGCAAAGGUAGCGCAAUCACUUGUCUUUUAAAUGGAGACCUGUAUGAAUGGCAUCACGAGGGCUUAACUGUCUCCUUUCUUUAGCCAAUGAAAUUGAUCUCCCCGUGCAGAAGCGGGGAUAAACCCAUAAGACGAGAAGACCCUAUGGAGCUUUAGACACUAAAGCAGUUUACGUCAAACACCUCUGAAUAAAGAACCAAACUGAGUAAGCCCUGCCCUAAUGUCUUCGGUUGGGGCGACCCCGGGGAAAUAAGUAACCCCCAUGAGGAAUGGAAGCAUGCUUCCAAAACCAAGAGCCACUGCUCUAAGCAUCAGAACUUCUGACCAUCAGAUCCGGCAAAGCCGAUCAACGGACCGAGUUACCCUAGGGAUAACAGCGCAAUCCCCUUAUAGAGUCCCUAUCGACAAGGGGGUUUACGACCUCGAUGUUGGAUCAGGACAUCCUAAUGGUGCAGCCGCUAUUAAGGGUUCGUUUGUUCAACGAUUAAAGUCCU
This 552-nucleotide ribosomal RNA is filed under the name Halichoeres papilionaceus (seagrass wrasse). RNAcentral describes it as "partial 16S ribosomal RNA". It matches the Rfam family "Bacterial large subunit ribosomal RNA", at positions 1844 to 2597 of the family's 2925-position model. Lineage: Eukaryota; Metazoa; Chordata; Actinopteri; Labriformes; Labridae. The record is from RNAcentral.